Oncorhynchus tshawytscha (Chinook salmon) is the source of this 1926-nucleotide long non-coding RNA. NCBI's taxonomy places the organism in Eukaryota, Metazoa, Chordata, Actinopteri, Salmoniformes, Salmonidae. The record is from Ensembl.
CAGAGAAAGAAGAGAGAGAUACAGAGAGAGAAGAGAGAGAUACAGAGAGAGAAGAGAGAGAUACAGAGAGAGAAGAGAGAUACAGAGAGAGAAGAGAGAGACAGAGAGAGAAGAGAGAGAUACAGAGAGAGAAGAGAGAGACACAGAGAGAGAAGAGAGAGAUACAGAGAGAGAAGAGAGAUAGAAAGAGAGAGAAACUUAGCGAAUCAGACAUCAUCAACAUCCGUAGAACCAGGUCAGUGUCUAGUCAGAUUUCCUGAACGAUCCAGACUUCCGUUUACUUUGGAAAAACUCUGGAAAACUUCACUGAGAUCCAAAGACCCACCAGCAAUCACAUCCUGAUCAGAAACAUCUCAAUCUCAUCUCAGUCCACCUGUUGUCUCAUUCAUAUUUACUGGCUGACCACUUAGGAUCCUGGUCAAAAGUAGUGCACUAGAUAGGGAAGAGUGUGUUAUUUCUGACGCAGCCUGCGUAGGUCCUGUAAGCAGCACCUCUAGGGCAGGAGACAGGGACACUGUUAUCUCUGGCCUGGUUCCACAGACUGUUUGUUAUUCCAAGGAGUCAGUCUGUACCCUACCCUCCGAUCACUGAGGAAACAACUGACUCUGCUCUCAGUAAAACAGUCUACUUCCCAGAACAACAACGACAGAUACAGUCAACAAACCACAGACUAACCACUGACUUCUGCUAGCAACACCGGGAGACCUGGGAGAGGAAAUGGUAUUCUGUGAAGCAGGGUAAAGAUAGAGCAGAUAGUUGACGAGAGGUGACGGAAGGGCUGCUGUGACACUGGGGUCAGAUUAAUAAGGGAAAGUGUGGCUUAGCAGCGAUUAUCAUCAUGUCAAUGAAUGCAAAAGCCUUGUGUGUCCAACUCUACACAUAAAGAUAUAUUGUACACCAGAGAUAAGGCAUAUGGUGAUGCCUAGAGGUACUCCAACCUCAAGACUGUGGUGCCAAAAUCACACAGGCUUUGAAAAGUUAUUGAAGUCACUAAAGUCACAACUUACGACCACUAUUUUGCAACAACAACAAACAAUAACCAUAUUUGUGACUCAUAUCAUUGACUUAUCAAAAGGAAUCGCACAGCACAAGACAAUUCUGUUUCUCAACAGGCACCCUGAGGCAAGUGUUCGUUUCCCCAACUCUAUACAUCAAAGCUAUUGUAAAUAUUCUAUGAAUGUCAAACCUCCGAUAAUAUCUGAAAACUCCUCCUUAAUUAACUAGCAAUAAAUAUUAAUGUGGAAUGAAGGAAGCAGUGUCUUCUGAAGAGAACAUUGCCAGCAUGUUUGAGAAGGGAGGUUUUGAGAAGGGAGGUUUUGAGAAGAGAGACUGAGAAGGGAGGUUUUGAGAAGGGAGACAGAGAAGGAGGUUUUGAGAAGGGAGACUGAGAAGGGAGAUUUUGAGGAGUGACGUUUUGAGAAGAGAGAUUUUGAGGAGUGAGACUUUGAAAAGGAAGGUUUUGAGAAGGGAGGUUUUGAGAAGAGAGAUUUUGAGGAGUGAGGUUUUGAGGAGUGAGGUUUUGAGAAGGGAGGUUUUGAGGAGUGAGAUUUUGAGAAGGGAGGUUUGAGGAGUGAGGUUUUGAGAAGGGAGGUUUUGAGGAGUGAGGUUUCGGCAGGGGAGAGAGAGACGGGUUCUACCACACCUGUCACCAUUCCCCUGGGUCAUUCUCGUAUCUCACGAAGCCAGAGGAAUUAUGAGCAGAACAGAACUCUGCUCUCUAAAGAUGUUGGCCGGGUUUUUUUUGUAAUUUUCUGCGCUGUGUUUUUAUCUGCAUGAAUUCCGCUGAAGUUGAAAAAUGUUUAUAUCUUGUGUGAAACUCAAGAAAAUGGUUAAUGUAAAAACAAAUGGAGCAUGGUCCAUAUGUGUGUGUGUCUCUCUCUGUCUCUCUCUCUCUCUCUCUCUCUCUCUCUCUCUCUCUCUCUCUCU